Molecule: transfer RNA, 83 nt
Filed under: Oscillospiraceae bacterium
Lineage: Bacteria; Bacillati; Bacillota; Clostridia; Eubacteriales; Oscillospiraceae
Description: tRNA-Leu
Rfam family: tRNA
About the family: Transfer RNA (tRNA) molecules are approximately 80 nucleotides in length.
Source: RNAcentral
GCGGGCAUGGCGGAAUGGCAGACGCGUACGGUUCAGGUCCGUAUGAAAGAAAUUUCUUGCAGGUUCAAAUCCUGUUGCCCGCA